UGGGGAAUAUUGCACAAUGGGCGCAAGCCUGAUGCAGCCAUGCCGCGUGUGUGAAGAAGGCCUUCGGGUUGUAAAGCACUUUCAGCGAGGAGGAAGGUGGUGAACUUAAUACGUUCAUCAAUUGACGUUACUCGCAGAAGAAGCACCGGCUAACUCCGUGCCAGCAGCCGCGGUAAUACGGAGGGUGCAAGCGUUAAUCGGAAUUACUGGGCGUAAAGCGCACGCAGGCGGUUUGUUAAGUCAGAUGUGAAAUCCCCGGGCUCAACCUGGGAACUGCAUUUGAAACUGGCAAGCUAGAGUCUCGUAGAGGGGGGUAGAAUUCCAGGUGUAGCGGUGAAAUGCGUAGAGAUCUGGAGGAAUACCGGUGGCGAAGGCGGCCCCCUGGACGAAGACUGACGCUCAGGUGCGAAAGCGUGGGGAGCAAACAGGAUUAGAUACCCCUGGUAGUCCACGCUGUAAAACGAUGUCGAUUUUGGAGGUUGUGCCCCUUGAGGCGUGGCUUCCGGAGCUAACGCGUUAAAUCGACCGCCUGGGGAG
This 537-nucleotide ribosomal RNA is filed under the name uncultured bacterium. RNAcentral's name for it is "partial 16S ribosomal RNA". It matches the Rfam family "Bacterial small subunit ribosomal RNA", at positions 355 to 880 of the family's 1533-position model. The record is from RNAcentral.